AUUGAACGCUGGCGGCAGGCCUAACACAUGCAAGUCGAGCGGAUGAAGGGAGCUUGCUCCUGGAUUCAGCGGCGGACGGGUGAGUAAUGCCUAGGAAUCUGCCUGGUAGUGGGGGAUAACGUCCGGAAACGGGCGCUAAUACCGCAUACGUCCUGAGGGAGAAAGUGGGGGAUCUUCGGACCUUACGCUAUCAGAUGAGCCUAGGUCGGAUUAGCUAGUUGGUGGGGUAAAGGCCUACCAAGGCGACGAUCCGUAACUGGUCUGAGAGGAUGAUCAGUCACACUGGAACUGAGACACGGUCCAGACUCCUACGGGAGGCAGCAGUGGGGAAUAUUGGACAAUGGGCGAAAGCCUGAUCCAGCCAUGCCGCGUGUGUGAAGAAGGUCUUCGGAUUGUAAAGCACUUUAAGUUGGGAGGAAGGGCAGUAGGUUAAUACCUUGCUGUUUUGACGUUACCAACAGAAUAAGCACCGGCUAACUUCGUG
RNAcentral lists this ribosomal RNA (484 nucleotides) under uncultured bacterium. Its description in RNAcentral is "partial 16S ribosomal RNA". It matches the Rfam family "Bacterial small subunit ribosomal RNA", at positions 30 to 507 of the family's 1533-position model. The record is from RNAcentral.